UACGGAGGGUGCAAGCGUUAUCCGGAUUCACUGGGCUUAAAGGGUGCGUAGGCGGGCAUGUAAGUCCGUGGUGAAAUCUCCGAGCUUAACUCGGAAACUGCCAUGGAUACUAUGUAUCUUGAAUGUUGUGGAGGUGAGCGGAAUAUGUCAUGUAGCGGUGAAAUGCUUAGAUAUGACAUAGAACACCAAUUGCGAAGGCAGCUCACUACACAAAUAUUGACGCUGAGGCACGAAAGCGUGGGGAUCAAACAGG
This 253-nucleotide ribosomal RNA is filed under the name uncultured bacterium. Its description in RNAcentral is "partial 16S ribosomal RNA". It matches the Rfam family "Bacterial small subunit ribosomal RNA", at positions 524 to 776 of the family's 1533-position model. The record is from RNAcentral.